CGGGGUGUAGCGAAGCUUGGUAUCGCGCAACAUUCGGGUUGUUGAGGCCGCAGGUUCAAAUCCUGUCACUCCGA
RNAcentral lists this transfer RNA (74 nucleotides) under Clostridiales bacterium. RNAcentral's name for it is "tRNA-Pro". It matches the Rfam family "tRNA". From Rfam's summary of the family: Transfer RNA (tRNA) molecules are approximately 80 nucleotides in length. Their secondary structure includes four short double-helical elements and three loops (D, anti-codon, and T loops). RNAcentral also lists the same sequence under 3 other names. The record is from RNAcentral. Lineage: Bacteria; Bacillati; Bacillota; Clostridia; Eubacteriales.